Molecule: long non-coding RNA, 1933 nt
Organism: Piliocolobus tephrosceles (Ugandan red Colobus)
Lineage: Eukaryota; Metazoa; Chordata; Mammalia; Primates; Cercopithecidae
Exons: 2
Source: RefSeq, a predicted model, not a curated record
UACUAAUAAAUAACAUAAUAAAUACAUUUAACAAAUAAAAAUGUCAUAAAUAUACAUUAUUUUUAGUGUACAUUACAAUGGAAUAAUCAAAAUAGCAAAAUAAAAAAAUUUAAAAAAAAUCAAAAAUUUCCACAUCCUCUUAGUUCAACUAUUACCAUGAUUCUAGUGAAUGUACAGACAUUACAUAAAAAAAAAAUAUUUUUUUUUUUUUUUUUUUUUAUGCAGUGGGAAUAACAUGUACAAACAGUUAAACACAUUUAUUAUAACUUUUAGUAAUCAAAGAAUUAUAAUGUGUAUGUCUUCUCCAUUUUCCUAUUACUAAAAACAUUAUACAUUUUCUUUUAACUAAAAUAUAAAAGAAUGUUUUAUUAAAAACAUUAUACAUUAUUUAUGAAUGGAUUUUUUUUAUUUUUUACGUUGUAUUAAAUAUAGACAACAAAAUACCAACUACUUGGAAUACUUAUAUUAAUUAAUUUAUUACUUUGUUCCUCGACAAAUCUUCAUCAUAAAUGUUUAGCAUCAGCUGUUAAUAGUACUUUUUUUUUUUUUUACAUACUUAUUUUAUGUAUUUAAUCAAUCAAUUAUUUAUUUUUCUUAUAUUACAUAUAUAAUUAAUUACUUAUUUUAACUGUUUAAUUAAAUAUUCAAUUAAUCACCUACUUAACUACUUAAUAAUUUUUGCAUUGGCUACUUAUUUUAAUAAGAUAUAAAUAACUUUUAUUGUUUUUUUUUAUAGUUUGUUUUUAAAUACAAAAUGAAAUGAUUGUUUAUUGUUCAAUGUAAUAAUUACUGAUAAAAGAAACCUUCUUAUAGACCAACUGAUUAAUAAAUGUUUAUUGCUAUUAUUUAACCUAUCGCUUCAAAACAACAGAACUCAAUGAAUCAUAAAAACAUUUCAACAAAACAAAAAAAUUACAGAAAGUACAUAUUCAAAUAAAUAGAAAGUAUUAAUUUUAAUAUAAUAUUUUUUUAUUAUUAUUUGUUGUUUCAUGGAAAAGGUUUUUUUGAUUGGUUUUUUGGGGUUAAAGAAUAAUGGUUUAAGGGUGGAAGAAUAAUUGUUUUACGGGUUGAUGAACUCAUUUAAGCGGGUUAUUUAGAGAGAAAGGGUUUUUAAUUGUUUUUGGGCUGGAAGUGUAAUGGUUUUUGGGGUGAAAGAAUAAUGGCUUACGGGUUGAUGAUUUCAUUUAAGCGGGUUGUUUUAGGAGAAAGGGCUUUGAAUUGGUUUCUGGUUUAAGAAUAAUGGUUUACGGGUUGAAGAUUUCUUUUAUUUUUCAUGUUUUUAGGAAUAGUAGUGUUUUUUUUUUUCGUAUUAUUUUUGCUAUUAAGUUUUAUAUCUAUACUUUUAUAAACGGUAUAAACUUAUAUCUAAUUAUAUACAUAUUAGAAUUACAGAAUAUACAUUAUAGUUUUGCUUUAUUGUUUUUAAUAACUUAUUUGAAUUUAAUUUAAUCUAGCAUGGCAUAUCAAACAUUUUAAUUGAACUUAUUUCAGCUCUUGUUUUUUUUUACUUUAUUUUUUUUUGGAUUCAUUCGCUGUAUAUGGCGUUGUUUCACACAACUAAAUACAUUUUUCAUGCAUCCAAAUAGAAACAACCAAUCAAAUUCAUAAAAUAAAUCAAGUACCCUACAUAACAAACUGAUUACUUAACGAAGGAAAAAAAACAAAAAAAUAAUUAAAAUAACAAACAGCAAAAAAUUUCACAAAAAAAAAAGUAUCAUGUGUCCAAUUGAAUACAUUUCAACCAACGUAAAUCCAUUCAACUCACUUAAAUAUUCAAAUAAAGACAUUAAAACAUAUUUAACACAACAACAAACACCAAAAUAUAAACUAAUUCAACAGACUAGUAGAACCUUAAUAAUUCCAACACUCAUGAAACAUUCAUUAAUAGAUAUCAAUGUAGUAAAUAGUCAGCAAAACAGAGCAAACAAAAAAA